Molecule: long non-coding RNA, 477 nt
Filed under: Coffea arabica (coffee)
Lineage: Eukaryota; Viridiplantae; Streptophyta; Magnoliopsida; Gentianales; Rubiaceae
Description: long non-coding RNA (CARA_LNC006750)
Source: RNAcentral
CCGGCCCAAAAGUGUAUGAAUUUGGCUACGGCCUUAGCUACUCCAAUUACACUCAUGAAUUUGUUCAUGUCACCCCAGAUAAGAUCUACAUAAACAAGUUAUUACGCCCUGCUAAGGCCAUCAAAAGAUCAGCCACUGAUCGUUAUGCAUUAGUUUCUGAACUGGGAAAAGAAUUAUGUGAAAGCAAAAAGUUCUCAACUAAAAUAGCAGUUGAAAAUCGUGGAAAUUUACCUGGCAAGCAUCCAGUACUAUUAUUUGUCAAACAGGCCAAUCUCACAAUUGGGAGCCCUCAGAAGCAGCUGAUAGCAUUCCGAAGUGUGAGAUUAGAGGCAGGAGAAAGAGCUCACAUUGACUUUGUUCUGAACCCUUGUCAGCACCUAAGCAGAGCUAACAAAGAUGGUUUAUUGGUGAUUGAAGAAGGAUAUUACCACCUGAUUCUGGAAGAUAAGGAGUACCCCAUUAAUGUGGUAUUGUGAC